Non-coding RNA from Thelephora terrestris, 88 nucleotides. Lineage: Eukaryota; Fungi; Basidiomycota; Agaricomycetes; Thelephorales; Thelephoraceae. The record is from the annotation of a GenBank genome assembly.
GGUCCUGUAGCGUAAUGGUUAACGCGCCAGUUUCCGGCUGUUACGUACGCCUCGCUGGAGAUUGCAGAUUCGAGUUCUGCCAGGAUCG